Molecule: long non-coding RNA, 487 nt
Organism: Brassica oleracea var. oleracea
Lineage: Eukaryota; Viridiplantae; Streptophyta; Magnoliopsida; Brassicales; Brassicaceae
Exons: 5
Source: RefSeq, a predicted model, not a curated record
AUUAUGGAUUCACUCGUUGGACAGGAAGAGAAAAGCACAGCAGCUUUGAAGUCCCAGAUUGAAAAGCUACAGCAGGAGAGAAAUGAAUUUCAAAGGAUGGUGAUCGGUAACCAGGUGGAUGCAAAUGAAGCGAAAAACUAAGAAAUAGUGGCUGAGAACACUAGCCUAAGAGCAUCACUUCGAUUCAUGCAGAUAUGCGUGAUUUUUUUUAAAUGCUCCAAACGGUUCAGCUAAUCCUUCAUUGGCUGGCAAUGAGAAACGUGAGGCUGAUCCUUCACAAUAUCCACUGGGUGAAAAGACGGAUGUCUUUGAUCUACCUUUCCGGAUGGCUAGAGGUCAAAUAGUAGAGAGUUUGCGCGCUAAGAUGGCUUUCAUAAAGGGAACACAUGGUUCAGUUACAAGAUGUACCUAAAGGAAUAUCUGUCAUUUCUGAAGCCACAGAGAGAGAGAGAGAGAGAGAGCUCGAACGUGAAGCUCAGCUUGUCGA